UACGGAGGAUGCGAGCGUUAUCCGGAUUUAUUGGGUUUAAAGGGUGCGUAGGCGGUUUUUUAAGUUAGUGGUUAAACGUCGGGGCUUCACCUUGAUUUGCCAUUAAUACUGUAAGACUCGAGUUCAGACGAGGUAGGCGGAAUAAGUUAAGUAGCGGUGAAAUGCUUAGAUAUAACUUAGAACCCCGAUUGCGAAGGCAGCAUACCGGCGCCCUACUGACGCUGAGGCACGAAAGCGUGGGGAGCAAACAGG
This 252-nucleotide ribosomal RNA is filed under the name uncultured Odoribacter sp. RNAcentral describes it as "partial 16S ribosomal RNA". It matches the Rfam family "Bacterial small subunit ribosomal RNA", at positions 524 to 776 of the family's 1533-position model. The record is from RNAcentral. Lineage: Bacteria; Pseudomonadati; Bacteroidota; Bacteroidia; Bacteroidales; Odoribacteraceae.